Melozone crissalis (California towhee) is the source of this 142-nucleotide small nucleolar RNA. The record is from RefSeq and is a predicted model, not a curated record. Lineage: Eukaryota; Metazoa; Chordata; Aves; Passeriformes; Passerellidae.
UUGCAAACUCAGUCACUACACUAGCUCUGCAUGGUGUUGCAGAAGCAAGGGGAACAGAUUUGAUAAAAUAAACAUGGUGAUAGAAUUAUAUUAGCCUUAGAAAUCAAAUUAUUUGAGCUGCUAAUUCUGCACCAUGAUAAGG